RNAcentral lists this long non-coding RNA (1172 nucleotides) under Chinchilla lanigera (long-tailed chinchilla). RNAcentral describes it as "lncRNA (ENSCLAG00000023214.1)". Lineage: Eukaryota; Metazoa; Chordata; Mammalia; Rodentia; Chinchillidae. The record is from RNAcentral.
GGCGGGUGCCGAGCCGGCUGCGGGCCCCGGGCGAUCGGGCGGUGGGGCGCUCGGUGCGCCCUACACCCGCGCCGGCACGCGCUGGGCUCGGAAGGGAAAUCAGUCAAUCACGCGACUGCCGAGAUGUGCCCUUGGCUGUCCGCCUCUGCGGGCCUCUCCUGGCUUUGAGGAUGGCCUCAAACCUUCCGAAAGGAGGGGACAGGCUCCCCGCCUCUCUCCUUUCGCCAGCCCUUGUAGGACCCAGGGUAGCACAAAAUCAGAACUGAUCCCAGCCUGCCUGAAUAGGAGAAUGCAGAAAAGGCCACUGGAGGCUUCCAGAUGCCUCUGUUGUGACAGAAACCGAUCAGAGUGGCUUAAAGGAAGGCCAGCUGUGAGCUAGAAGGAGGCCAGGGUGACUCGCAGAUCCCCAGCAGCAAAAAAGGAGCCGGGACCCAAAGAAGGCUGAACACUGAAGACCCAGGCAGGGGCUUUGUGUAGCCCCGCUUUCUCUCCCCUUGCUGGGGUGAGAACUUGGAACCCAUGCGUGCUAGGCAAGCGCUCUGCCCCUGGGCUCGUCCCAACCCACCCCCAUCUGCAUCUCACUUCUAGAUUUUCUCCCUGUGCAUUGCCUGGGCAUGAGGAGGGUAGACCCGUGUCCAGGGUCUCUUCUGUCCAGUUGCAAGGAAGGACUUGGAUGCCCACCCCAGCCAGCGUGUGAGCCCAGCUGUGCCAACCCUGCUGACGACAGCCCCCGGAGCUAAAGGGGGUGGUCGGGUGCAUCACUGUGGGUUGGACAGUGUCCCAAAGAAGUGUCAUAUUAAACAAUAAACACUUCUAUCCUGCUGCCCAGGCUUGCCCUUUCCUGCUUCCUCUCGCUCUCCCUCACUUUCUUUCUUUUGUUUCCUUUUUUCUUUUUCAAUACUGGAUCUUGAACCAGGGCCUUCACACAGAACUACAUCCCUGACCCAUUUUUAACUUUGAGACAGUCUCACUAAAUCAGUAAAUUGCCUAGGCUGGGCUCCAACUUGUGAUCUUCCUGCGUCAGCUUCCCAGAUUGCUGGGAUUAGAAGUGUGCACCCCCAGGCCCAGCUUGUGCGUUUCUUUCUUAGUUGUAGUAGCUAAGAUAGGUAUAGGGCUCACCAGAUGCCAGCCACCCUCAUGAGCACUUUGCCUAUGCUGAGUAAUCUAACGAC